CGAGAUAUUGGCAGAGGAGAUCUCAGAGUAUGACGAAGAAGCUUUAGAAUUCCUCAAGGAUAUCAAGUGGUGCAGAGUCAAUGAUGCAAAGGGUUUUAAGCUUGAAUUCUUUUUUGAUACAAACCCCUUCUUCAAGAAUUCUGUAUUGACAAAGACCUAUCUCAUGGUUGAUGAUGAACUACCUGUAUUGGAUAAGGCAAUAGG
RNAcentral lists this unclassified non-coding RNA (204 nucleotides) under Hevea brasiliensis (rubber tree). The record is from RNAcentral. Lineage: Eukaryota; Viridiplantae; Streptophyta; Magnoliopsida; Malpighiales; Euphorbiaceae.